AAACAUUGGGUUGUUUUGGUUGCU
RNAcentral lists this non-coding RNA (24 nucleotides) under Arabidopsis thaliana (thale cress). The record is from RNAcentral. Lineage: Eukaryota; Viridiplantae; Streptophyta; Magnoliopsida; Brassicales; Brassicaceae.